Molecule: ribosomal RNA, 450 nt
Filed under: uncultured soil bacterium
Lineage: Bacteria
Description: bacterial SSU rRNA
Rfam family: Bacterial small subunit ribosomal RNA
Source: RNAcentral
AGAACGAAUGCUGGCGGCAUGCCUAACACAUGCAAGUCGAACGAGACCUUCGGGUCUAGUGGCGCACGGGUGCGUAACGCGUGGGAAUCUGCCCUUGGGUUCGGGAUAACAGUUGGAAACGACUGCUAAUACCGGAUGAUGUCCUCGGACCAAAGAUUUAUCGCCCAGGGAUGAGCCCGCGUAAGAUUAGCUAGUUGGUGGGGUAAAAGCCUACCAAGGCGACGAUCUUUAGCUGGUCUGAGAGGAUGAUCAGCCACACUGGGACUGAGACACGGCCCAGACUCCGUACGGGAGCAGCAGUGGGAAUAUGGACAAGUGGGCGAAAGCCUGAUCCAGCAAUGCCGCGUGAGUGAUGAAGGCCUUAGGUUGUAAAGCUUACGUUUUACCGGAUGAUAAUGACAGUACCGGAGAAGUAACGACCCGCUAACGUCCGUGCCGAGCGACGCCGAC